AUGAUAGUUUAUUCAGUUGGAUCAGGUCUAAGGUGAUGCUAGUUGUUGUGUUCCUCUGGAAGACAAAAUGGUAUGGACUAUGGAGAAGAAUGAAAAAUAACAUGUUUCUUUUGGAAUUCCAUUUUGGCAAGCGUUUGAUGUCCAAUGAAAGUUGAGAAGUAUUAAAACUUGUUUCUUAUCUAGGUUACUUUGGACCUUUGUGUCUGAAUAUAUUUAGAGCUUGGAGACGGCAGAUCUUGUAUUACUUAAAAUUUUAUCGGAAUUUGAGUAUUCCUUUUGAGAUUUUUGUCUUUAGUGGUAUAUUUUUGUACUUGAGUGCAAUUCUACCAAUGAUUAUUCUAGUCUAUGUUUGCUGCUAAUUGUGUAUCCCUUUUAUGCAAGCAGAAGUUGCAGUGGAAGCACAGAA
RNAcentral lists this unclassified non-coding RNA (406 nucleotides) under Hevea brasiliensis (rubber tree). Lineage: Eukaryota; Viridiplantae; Streptophyta; Magnoliopsida; Malpighiales; Euphorbiaceae. The record is from RNAcentral.